UGGGGAAUAUUGCACAAUGGGCGCAAGCCUGAUGCAGCCAUGCCGCGUGUAUGAAGAAGGCCUUCGGGUUGUAAAGUACUUUCAGCGGGGAGGAAGGGAGUAAAGUUAAUACCUUUGUUCAUUGACGUUACCCGCAGAAGAAGCACCGGCUAACUCCGUGCCAGCAGCCGCGGUAAUACGGAGGGUGCAAGCGUUAAUCGGAAUUACUGGGCGUAAAGCGCACGCAGGCGGUUUGUUAAGUCAGAUGUGAAAUCCCCGGGCUCAACCUGGGAACUGCAUCUGAUACUGGCAAGCUUGAGUCUCGUAGAGGGGGGUAGAAUUCCAGGUGUAGCGGUGAAAUGCGUAGAGAUCUGGAGGAAUACCGGUGGCGAAGGCGGCCCCCUGGGCGAAGACUGACGCUCAGGUGCGAAAGCGUGGGGAGCAAACAGG
RNAcentral lists this ribosomal RNA (429 nucleotides) under Chloroflexota bacterium. Its description in RNAcentral is "Chloroflexi bacterium partial 16S ribosomal RNA". It matches the Rfam family "Bacterial small subunit ribosomal RNA", at positions 355 to 776 of the family's 1533-position model. The record is from RNAcentral. Lineage: Bacteria; Bacillati; Chloroflexota.